AUUUGUCCCAUCCGCGCGCCGCGCCCGCACCCAACGCAACCCAAUCCCCUCGUCCCGCACGCCGUGCACACUCCGGUCCCCUCAUCCCGCACGAACCCUAGAAGAGAGAUAGGAAGAUGAGAGGGAGAGAAAGGGGAGAGGAGAGGAGAGGGAGGUCCGGCAGCGGACGGGAGAAGGUGACCGGCCAGCGUCGGCCUACACCGGCGAGGCGUCGGCCUGCGCCCCGCCUCCUUGCUGCUCCGUUUACUCCACCGAUUUCUCUCCGGCUGCCGGCCUCCCAGCCCCCCCACCUCGCAAUGGCAUUUCCUAAGGAUCAGCGCGAGCAAGGCCAACAGGCGGAAGGAGCGGAUCGUGGCCUCGCACGCUGGCUCGUCAUCUGCUUUGGCACCUUUCGGAUCCGCGCUGCUGCGUGCGAUGGUUCUAAAUCAGUGCAGGACGUCGCCGCCGGAUAGUAGGGCCGACGGAUUCUUCGCAUCGGGGGCUGGCUGGCAGGGGAGGGUCAGGAGGCCGGCAUGACUUGCUAACGAGUAGAGGUUGAUUAUCUUGACAUCCUCUCCUGCGUCCACUGUCGCGCCGUUCUGCCUUCGGCGAUUAAUUGAGCCUACUUCUCCUUUCCAGGUCGGGAUGGAGCAGCAGGCAUAGAUGAAAUCUACUGCCAAUUUCUAUUGGUUGCGGCAUCUUCCGCUGAGUAACUCUACAAAACAGCCUGCCAGCAUUGAUUCUUGCAAUAAAAAAAUAAGUCUGGCAUCAUUCAUAAUAAGCUUAUAGACUUAGAUAAUUUCUUAAUCCUGCACUGGUUCUCACCAGUGAGAUUGUAGAUGUGGUAUUUUGAGAAUACCAGUGUAAUUCACAGGUCCAAAAGCUCCAUUUCUUAAUGUGUUUUUGCAGAAUGCUACCAGUAAUGUUUUUCUUUUCCUUAAUGUACAAACAUAUCUAUUAGAUAUGAUUUUGGAUCUGAACUUUUCCCUGUCUGCAGCUCACAUUGUGGUAUGGUCAUGGUACAGCAAAAGGAAAAGAUGUUUAAACUUUUUUUGGGCGUCAUACAUGAAAAGUACCUUUAUUUCCAUUGAGCUUAAUUACUAAGAAAAUGUUACCACUAUUUCCUUACUAAUAAACCUAAAUGUUCUGAAAGUUCGGUCUCUUGCUCUCUUUGCUUAUGAAUCGGACACUUUACCUUUCUUUAAUCCUUACACGGUUCCACCUCGCUUUGACUGCAUACUUUGAUGGUGUUUGUAGGUAUGGAGAGUGGUCAUAAUGUUACUUAAAGGAGGCCUCAACUUGCACCAAAUACAUGGGCAUGUGCAACAGCAACUUAUGUAGGUGAGUAGGUAUUUAUGCUUAGUUUUGACUUGAGUACAAAAAAGAGCUUGCUGACAUAUACAAGAGAAUAGGCUACCCAUUCUUGAAUUGAAUCAGAUUGGUAGACUAAACCACGGUGGUGUACUCUUUGCUGCUGAGUUAUUACAAUCCAACCGAAAAUAAGGGGAAAACAAACAUGAUCCUGCCAUUUAAAUUAUGUCAUAUUUGUGGAGAAAAGUUGCAUAGUUAGCUAUUGCAAAAUACUAUCGACCCAGUUUUUGUUCAAUAGACGUCCCUUCUUCGAAUGUAGCUUGAACCUGCGCAAGGGCAUGGUAGCAUGCUCAUUCUAUUUUUUUACUAAGGUGGUUACACUUUCCUACUUUUUGCUGAAAGAGAGUCAAUUUAGUCAUGAGCUAUAGCGGCGUUUCUGUUUACUGAAUUUCGUUUUGCAGUUCCCUUCUCUUGAAUGUUUAUUCAAAUGUGCCUAAUAUUUUUUUCAUGUUUCUAAAAACUAAUAAAUGCUGCUCUCAAAUCAGUUAGGAGGAUGAAGGUAGUAGCUUACUGAACUCUCAUUUCUGGAAAAAUCUGGAGAUGUCUUGGUAUGGAGUUUCAUGAUCAACUUGCUCCAGCAUAGUUAGUCUCUCUAGACUAAUUGUUUGUCACUAUCUAUUCUAUACAUGUGUUUGAUUGGUUGUGCAAACAUGCAUGCAUUGGUCUGUGUGGAAAUUGCUUUAUCCGGUCUGUUCUAUAGCAAUGUUUCUAGUGGCUGUUUAGCACAUAUAUUUAGAUAGUUGCAUACGCAUGCUUCGUUCUGCCAGAAAAUUAUCUUCCCUGAUAUGUUUUCAGAUGCUAUUUGUAUACAUGUUUGUCUUUGUCAUCUUUAUGUUGAGUUGUGGGUUCCAAAUAUAUUUAUGAUGAUCGUUUGCAUGGUGGGUCAUGUCAGCGAUGUGCGUUGCAUAUUCAUGAUUCAAACUCUUUGUUGGGUAUAUAUCUAUAUGAAGUUGUUUUUGAAUGGCCCAUGAUUCGUUUUUUAUUAGCAUUUUAGUUUAAGCAUUUCUCCAGAGAAUCUUGAUAUCCAACUGUAUAUAUAUCCAGUCAUGUUUUUUUACUCUGACUGAUUUCUUUUUUUGUUUUGUUUUACAGUUUGUACAAUCUCUAAAGAUGGUGCUCCAUUGUUCUGUUAAUCAAGAUUUGUUCCCUCCUUUCUCACUAGCUGAUACGUGAUGACCGUUUGCAUGGGGGGUUAUGUUAACUAUAUUCUAUUCAUGAUUCAAACUGUUUGUUGGGUAAUUUAGUUUAGACAUUGUGUCCUGAGAAUCUUGAUGUCUAGCUGUAUCGGUACAAUAUAGUUUGCGAUUUUUCCCUCUGAAUUUAUAUAUCCACUCAGGUUGGGAUAGGUUAUGAGUAUUCUUAGUGUGGAAACAGCGGCAGUGCUGCACUUUCAUCAAAUGAUGAUAUGCCAACCUUGCGCCAUUUGGCUCUAUGUUACCCGAAUAAGAUAACAAAAUACACAUGCUCAAGUAUAUAUUUUCAAUACCCCCCUGAUGAUGCCUCAUUUCUUCAGAAUUUGAGGCUGUUCUUGAUAUGCCAGGUAGGUCCGGCUAUCGAGUCAACAAUUAUAUUUUGUACUGUGUGAUGAUACAUUAAUAAUCACACUUGAAUGUGUUACCUAAACCUGUCUUGCUUUUGUAUUUCAUCCUCCUUUGAACCAUCCAAUGACUUGUUCACUACAAAUGAUAAGUGUGAGGUGUACAGAAACCUGCACCUUAUAUUCCUGUCUUGCUUUUGUAUUAUAUCCCCCUUUGAACCAUCCGAUGACUUGUGCACUACAAACGAGAAGUGUGAGGUGUACAGAAACCUGCACUUCAUAUUUCUUACAUUCCUGUUUUAUUUAAUGUCUGAGCCUCUUUAUAUUGCUUACAUGUGUGAUUUAUCUAAUCUCUGAGCAAGUGUGAAUGUUUAUAAUUGGGUUAAUAAGCCCAGUUGUUUGAAGAAGCAAUUUGCAUUUCAGAUUUUAGGAUUGUACUAAUUCUUCUAUCCAUUUUUGAUUUGCCCCUGCCAUUGUAGAAGUAUGAGUGGGUUGACUUUUCUUGACGUGUAUUUUAUACAACGAGCAACUACCUUGCGCCGUCUUGCAGCCACCAACAACCCCAUGACCCUGCAUCAGGUCAAAAAAAUAUUCAAUAAUUAUUUCUUAUGCAGGGUCAUUGAAUUGUUGGCUUCAGACAUACUGUACUGUUGGGCUGCAAGCGUACUUCAGUUCUAAACUUAUCCCUUUUCCCUUCAUUUUUCUAAGACUGUAGUGUUGGGCAUUAAGUAGGAGUAGUUACUUAUACUAAGGAGCAGAUAUGUAUGACAUGUUAAUUUCACUUAUUUUUGGAACGAAGGUCUCACUUCAUUUAUAUUAGUCCUUGACGUCUGUGUUCUUGAUUGUGCAAAAUUGUUCCUUUCUGGGUAGAUGAAAGUCCAGAUUCCACUAAAGGAAGAUUCAGUAGGCUUUCUGUUACAUGUUGCUAAAAGUAAAUGAAUCGAAUUCUUUCUGUUUUGGUUCAGGACAAAUUUGAUUUUGGGAAGACAAAGGUCUGACAAGGAUGAGAAUGGGAUACCAGAUUACACCGACGGAGGCUCGGACAUGGAUCUGCUCCUGCUCUCAGCGGGAAUACUGGAUGUUCUUGAAGCUUUGCCAUACACACGUGCUACUUUUGGCACUUGCGUGGGCUCCUGUUUGUGUCAAUGCAAUUUGCAUCUGUCAGCGGAUUAUGGCGACCUUGGUUAUUGGCCUACAGGGUGCUCCACCGAUGGUGAAAAUACCUCACAGGAUGAUGUUGGAUAUUAUUCUACACAUUUCGGGCCUACCGGUGGCUGAGUAUCGAAGCAAAAUGUGACAGUGGCAUGAUGUGGAUGAAUAUAAUUUCCAUACAUCAACAUUAUCUUUUGGAGAUAAAAUAGCCGUAUGGCUAUUACAUGAGACCAUGUCAGAAGACCCUGCUGCUAUGGAAGCAAAAUGAUUCAUGAAAUCUGCGGUGAAAACAGAGAUAAGAUACUACAAUUACAGCAGCAUUGAGAAAUCAAGGACACGAAAUGAGUCUGAAAAAUGCUAUGGGCUAAUUCGUUGUAGCUAGGCGAUGUGUGGUGGAAGCUGUACUCACAGGAAGACUAUCUUGCUAUGUAUAAACCAUGUUCUACGAUUCACUUUUGUUAUGCAUAUUUACUUUCCAGUUUUAGGACUGAAAUCCAUCCAUUUUAAUGAAUUUGGUUGUAUGGGCAUUACCUAUUUGACUUAGGCUUGCUUCAUCACAUAUAGACUGCUUUUCUUUUCCCCACUGCUUGUAUGACCUAAAACUAUCAUGUAUAUGAGGCAAGUUAUUAGCAAUGUUUCACAUUUUCUUA
Non-coding RNA from Triticum urartu, 4689 nucleotides. Lineage: Eukaryota; Viridiplantae; Streptophyta; Magnoliopsida; Poales; Poaceae. The record is from RefSeq and is a predicted model, not a curated record.